Molecule: ribosomal RNA, 490 nt
Filed under: uncultured bacterium
Lineage: Bacteria
Description: bacterial SSU rRNA
Rfam family: Bacterial small subunit ribosomal RNA
Source: RNAcentral
GAUGAACGCUAGCUACAGGCUUAACACAUGCAAGUCGAGGGGCAGCACAGUGUAGCAAUACAUGGGUGGCGACCGGCGCACGGGUGCGUAACGCGUAUCCAACCUUCCCGAUACUCAGGGAUAGCCUUCCGAAAGGGAGAUUAAUACCUGAUGGUGUUUCAAUUCCGCAUGUUAAUGAAACUAAAGAUUUAUCGGUAUCGGAUGGGGAUGCGUGACAUUAGAUAGUAGGCGGGGUAACGGCCCACCUAGUCUACGAUGUCUAGGGGUUCUGAGAGGAAGGUCCCCCCACACUGGAACUGAGACACGGUCCAGACUCCUACGGGAGGCAGCAGUGAGGAAUAUUGGUCAAUGGUCUGACGACUGAACCAGCCAUGCCGCGUGAAGGUCACGGCCCUAUGGGUCUUAAACUUCUUUUGCAAGGGAGCAAUAAGGUGCACGUGUGCAUCGAUGAGAGUACCUUGCGAAUAAGCAUCGGCUAACUCCGUGCCAG